AGAGUGGCGGACGGGUGAGUAACACGUGGGCAACCUGCCCAACAGAGGGGGAUAACACUUGGAAACAGGUGCUAAUACCGCAUAAUUUGUUUUCCCGCAUGGGAGAAUAAUAAAAGACGCUUCGGUGUCACUGUUGGAUGGGCCCGCGCUGCAUUAGUUAGUUGGUGGGGUAAUGGCCUACCAAGACCGUGAUGCAUAGCCGACCUGAGAGGGUGAUCGGCCACACUGGGACUGAGACACGGCCCAG
Molecule: ribosomal RNA, 247 nt
Filed under: uncultured bacterium
Lineage: Bacteria
Description: partial 16S ribosomal RNA
Rfam family: Bacterial small subunit ribosomal RNA
Source: RNAcentral